GGUUUUAUAGUCAAAUUUAUGAUAUUAGACUGCAAUUCUAAAGUUACUUAUAAGAGUUAAGACCU
RNAcentral lists this transfer RNA (65 nucleotides) under Paracercion v-nigrum. Its description in RNAcentral is "tRNA-Cys". It matches the Rfam family "tRNA". Rfam says of the family: Transfer RNA (tRNA) molecules are approximately 80 nucleotides in length. Their secondary structure includes four short double-helical elements and three loops (D, anti-codon, and T loops). The record is from RNAcentral. Lineage: Eukaryota; Metazoa; Arthropoda; Insecta; Odonata; Coenagrionidae.